UACAGAGGUCUCAACCGUUGUUCGGAUUCAUUGGGCGUAAAGGGUGCGUAGGCGGUCGCGCAAGUCGGAUGUGAAAUCUCAGGGCUCAACCCUGAAACUGCAUUCGAUACUGCGUGGCUAGAGUGCUGGAGGGGAGACUGGAAUUUACGGUGUAGCGGUGAAAUGCGUAGAUAUCGUAAGGAAGACCAGUGGCGAAGGCGGGUCUCUGGACAGUUCCUGACGCUGAGGCACGAGGGCCAGGGGAGCAAACGGG
RNAcentral lists this ribosomal RNA (253 nucleotides) under uncultured bacterium. RNAcentral's name for it is "partial 16S ribosomal RNA". It matches the Rfam family "Bacterial small subunit ribosomal RNA", at positions 524 to 776 of the family's 1533-position model. The record is from RNAcentral.